Molecule: long non-coding RNA, 1494 nt
Filed under: Canis lupus dingo (dingo)
Lineage: Eukaryota; Metazoa; Chordata; Mammalia; Carnivora; Canidae
Description: lncRNA (ENSCAFG00020023163.1)
Source: RNAcentral
GGCGGGGUGGGGGGGGUAAUAGUCAAGCUCACCUUCAGGUCCCUUGCUUGUGUGUGGCUACCACCCGACCCCAUCUGGGCUGAGAACACUGAGCCUCUCAGCCUGCCAGUGAGCCAACGGUGAGCUGCAGCCUGUCACUGGAACUUUCUGGAUCUUAGUGAACUCCAUGGUGUCCAGGUCUCUGUGUUCUGGAAAGACAAAUCCCUAAACUCUGUGUCUUCUUGCACACAUCGACAGCUAUUGGGCUGCUCUGGGCCUGUGUGUGCACCUCGAAGGGGAGCUGGUUUGCUUCUCCCCGUGCUUCUGUGGUCCCACUUGCUUCUGCGUGGUCCUGAGUCGUAGGCCCGCAUUCACGAGCGUCUCGGGGGUAGGAUACCUGUGUCUCCCCUAGUUAUUUUGCCAGAUUAUCUCCCUGUGCACAGGCAGGCUUGCAUAAGAGCGAGGAAUUGGAGUCAGACACGGCUGAGUUCAGAUUCAGCUGUGACCUAGCUGUGUAAUUGUAGACAAGGGAUUUAACUUCACUGGGCCCCAGAUUCCUCCUCUGCUCAGCGGUGAUAAUAAUGCCUAUUUCCUAGGUUGUCGUGAGAAGUAAAUGAAAUGAAUAGAAAGCCGGGGUGUGGUGGUGACGGGCACACAGGAGGCAGGUGAUAAAUGGUGGUGAUUACUGGUGCUGGAAUGUUUUUGGCUUCCAGCAGGGCCUCUGUGCUCUGCUUCUGUCCCCAUGUCUCUCCGUCCCGUGAGCCACGCCACAAGGCAGAUACCCCUCUACCAGUGUUCAGAACGGCUGCAAGCAAUUGCCACAGGCUGGCCAAGAAGCCCUUACGGCACCCAGACCGCACGCACCGCUUGUUUCAUACACACAGGAACACGCAUGCAGGAAGAGUAAUGCCCGGGCGUGUGUGCAUUUGGCUUCUCAAAAUCGCCAGGAUUCCCAAAUCGGCCAAACUGCCUGAAGCCCUGAGAAGCAGGACAGGAAGGGCCGGAGAGGUAAACACUGAUGAGAGCAGAGACUGGAGGACAGUGACCCCGACAUGGCACAGCAGAGACCAGCCUGAGCCUCAGGAUGGCUGUGGGCUAGGGAAUGAGGGAAGGAGGAGGAAGUGGGGCCGGGCGUGGGCCUCUCUCUCAAGAGGCUGGCUGUGGGCGCUGGGGGGCUCAGUGGUUGAGCGUUGCCUUCCGCUCAGGGCGGGAUCCCGGGAUCCCGGGGUCCUGGGAUCCGUCCCGUCGGGCUCCCUGCAGGCAGCCCGCUUCUCCCUCUGCCUGUGUCCUGCCUCUCCCUGCCUGUCUCUCAUGAAUAAAUAAAUAAAAUCUUAAAAAAAAAAAAAAGAGGGUGGCUGUGAGGAAAGGGAGCCCAGAGGGCAGUGGGCUCAGGGCACUCCAGCUAACAUGUAGGGACUUGGUAGCUUCAGGGUUGACGGGAAGGAUCCAACACUGCGAAUACAUGGAGUCCGGUGCCCAGAACCACGGGGGGGGGGGGGGGGGGGGCCGCCUCUG